This 441-nucleotide ribosomal RNA is filed under the name uncultured bacterium. RNAcentral describes it as "partial 16S ribosomal RNA". It matches the Rfam family "Bacterial small subunit ribosomal RNA", at positions 338 to 795 of the family's 1533-position model. The record is from RNAcentral.
CCUACGCGAGGCAGCAGUGGGGAAUAUUUCACAAUGGGGGAAACCCUGAUGCAGCAACGCCGCGUGAAGGAAGACGGUUUUCGGAUAGUAAACUUCUGUUCUUAGUGAAGAAGAAUGACGGUAGCUAAGGAGCAAGCCACGGCUAACUACGUGCCAGCAGCCGCGGUAAUACGUAGGGGGCAAGCGGUGUCCGGAAUUACUGGGUGUAAAGGGAGAGUAGGCGGGAAGCUAAGUCCGCUGUGAAAACAACGGGCUUAACGUGUAGACUGCAGUUGAAACUGGUUUUCUUGAGUGAAGUAGAGGUUGGCGGAAUUCCGAGUGUAGCGGUGAAAUGCGUAGAUAUUCGGAGGAACACCAGUGGCGAAGGCGGCCAACUGGGCUUUAACUGACGCUGAGGCUCGAAAGUGUGGGGAGCAAACAGGAUUAGAUACCCUAGUAGUC